AUGAACGCUGGCGGCGUGCCUAAUACAUGCAAGUCGCGCGAACGGACGAGAAGCUUGCUUCUCUGAUGUUAGCGGCGGACGGGUGAGUAACACGUGGAUAACCUACCUAUAAGACUGGGAUAACUUCGGGAAACCGGAGCUAAUACCGGAUAAUAUUUUGAACCGCAUGGUUCAAAAGUGAAAGACGGUCUUGCUGUCACUUAUAGAUGGAUCCGCGCUGCAUUAGCUAGUUGGUAAGGUAACGGCUUACCAAGGCAACGAUGCAUAGCAGACCUGAGAGGGUGGUCGGCCACACUGGAACUGAGACACGGCCCAGAGUCCUACGGGGGGCAGCAGUAGGGAAUCUUCCGCAAUGGGCGAAAGCCGGACGGAGCAACGCCGCGUGAGUGAUGAAGGUCUUAGGAUCGGAAAACUCUGUUAUUAGUGAAGAACAUAUGUGUAAGUAACUGUGCACAUCUUGACGGUACCUAAUCAGAAAGCCACGGCUAACUACGUG
This 496-nucleotide ribosomal RNA is filed under the name uncultured bacterium. Its description in RNAcentral is "partial 16S ribosomal RNA". It matches the Rfam family "Bacterial small subunit ribosomal RNA", at positions 29 to 507 of the family's 1533-position model. The record is from RNAcentral.